RNAcentral lists this ribosomal RNA (123 nucleotides) under Clostridioides difficile. RNAcentral's name for it is "partial 23S ribosomal RNA". It matches the Rfam family "Bacterial large subunit ribosomal RNA", at positions 2799 to 2925 of the family's 2925-position model. Lineage: Bacteria; Bacillati; Bacillota; Clostridia; Peptostreptococcales; Peptostreptococcaceae. The record is from RNAcentral.
UCAAGAUAAGAUUUCCCACCGAAAGGGUAAGACCCUAGAAAGACUAUCUGGUUGAUAGGUCGAAGGUGUAAGUGCAGCAAUGUAUUUAGCUUAUCGAUACUAAUAGGUCGAGGACUUGACCAA